UACGUAGGGUGCGAGCGUUAAUCGGAAUUAUUGGGCGUAAAGCGCGCGCAGGCGGUCCUUUAAGUCUGAUGUGAAAGCCCACGGCUCAACCGUGGAGGGUCAUUGGAAACUGGGGGACUUGAGUGCAGAAGAGGAAAGCGGAAUUCCACGUGUAGCGGUGAAAUGCGUAGAUAUCGGGAGGAACACCAGUGGCGAAGGCGACUUCCUGGCCUGUUCUUGACGCUGAGGCGCGAAAGCUAGGGGAGCAAACGGG
RNAcentral lists this ribosomal RNA (253 nucleotides) under uncultured bacterium. RNAcentral describes it as "partial 16S ribosomal RNA". It matches the Rfam family "Bacterial small subunit ribosomal RNA", at positions 524 to 776 of the family's 1533-position model. The record is from RNAcentral.